Molecule: long non-coding RNA, 1442 nt
Organism: Passer montanus (Eurasian tree sparrow)
Lineage: Eukaryota; Metazoa; Chordata; Aves; Passeriformes; Passeridae
Exons: 2
Source: RefSeq, a predicted model, not a curated record
CAGGAGCUGGGAAGGGAAAAGUCUCAUCCAAAACCUCGAUUUUCCAGGUGUUUUUCCUUUUCCCUGUGACCUGGGCAGGCCCAGCAGCUGGGAAGGGCUUUGAUUCCUGCCCAGAGUUUGGGGAAGCCUUUCCCUGCUCUGGACAGGAUUUCUCGGGAUGCCCGUGGGGUCUCGGCGCUGCGGAGCCCCCGCCGAACAUUCCAGCGAUUUUUUUUGCCUGGAACUCCAUCCCCGGCUCCGUUGGGCUGGAAGUGCCUCGUUCACACCUCUCCCCACAUCCUUUCCCAUGGAACGGGGCGCAGCUGCUCCAGCUCGGCUCGGCCGAGGAGGAAUCUCCGAUUUUUCUCUCCUUUCCCCACCACACCCCGAGCAUUCCGUGAUUCCCGGGAGUUCCCGGCCGCCUUUAUCGCAUCCCUUUGGACUUUCACCUCUGGGCAGCCGCGCACUUUGCCCUUUCCCUGCACCUUUAAAGGGAUAAAGGCAAUUUAGAAGCCUCUGGAAAAGCCCCCGGGAGCUGUUGGAGGGGCUGGGCAGCGCUGCUGUCGGAGGGGAAUAAACCUGGAAGGGAUGAGCUGGGGAAGAAAUGGAAGCAGCUCGUGGCAGGCCAGCCCCAGAAGUUCAAAAACGCAGCACCAGGAGUUUCUACACCAAAACCACAAGAAAUAUUCGGGGUGGAAGAUAAGAGAACAGCCAGCCCCCACAAAAACCCGGCUCAGAGGCGGGGUGUGGGAUGGACAGAGCCGGGCAUCUCCCGGAUCCCCCCCCUGCACGGGCACGGCAUUCCUCGGCAGGAUUUGCAAUUUCUGCAGCAGCACCAGCCGGGCACGGCGCAGGUGGCUCGGCGGGGGCUGAGGUGACGCCGCGGUGACAUUCCCGGCUGUCACCGCCGCGCCACAGCCGCGUCCCCCGGGGGGCUCCGGGGUCGUGUUUGCGCUGCUGCCACCGCUCCAAAGCCGCUGGGAAGGAGCUGCUGGGCUCUGGCUGCUCCCAGCCCUGCUCUCCCAGCCCGGCCAGGCUCGCUGGGUGCCGCGGCAGCCGGGGGAAUGUGGCGGAUCUCGGGGCGGGGGGAGCCGGGGCUGCCCCAGGGAGGGAUUUGGUUGCAGGCAGGCGACAGCCAGGCUUUCAUCUGCUCCUGCGAGCCUCCUGCAGACGGAGGAGGAGGGAUGGAUCCCGGGCGAUGGAGGGCUCUCAGACUGAUCGAUUGCCCACGCUGUGGCGGGCAGGAAUCGCCGGACUGGAUCGGUACCAGGCUCCGAGCAGCCUGUGCUCCUUGAUCGAGCCGCGCCUGAGCCAUCAGGAAGCUGUAAAAAGCCUCCAGGAGCCGAUAAUCUGCUUUUUAUACCCCCAGCCACAGGCUCUGCUCUCACAGGAGCUGCAGCCUUAAUGGGAGCAGACCUUGAAAAGGAUGGAAUUGCAUUUCUCUUCUAAAAAAAAAAAAUAUA